RNAcentral lists this ribosomal RNA (330 nucleotides) under uncultured Spirochaetota bacterium. RNAcentral describes it as "bacterial SSU rRNA". It matches the Rfam family "Bacterial small subunit ribosomal RNA", at positions 29 to 351 of the family's 1533-position model. The record is from RNAcentral. Lineage: Bacteria; Pseudomonadati; Spirochaetota.
AACGAACGCUGGCGGCGCGUUUUAAGCAUGCAAGUCGAACGGCAGUACGGGUAGCAAUACUUGUACGAGAGUGGCGAACGGGUGAGUAACACGUAGGUGAUCUACCCCUGGAUGGGGGAUAGUCCGUGGAAACACGGGGUAAUACCGCAUGAGGCCUUGGGGGUAAAGCCCUGAGGUGAAAGCUCCAAUUGGAGCGUCUGGGGAUGAGCCUGCGGCCCAUUAGGCAGUUGGCGGGGUAAUGGCCCACCAAACCGACGAUGGGUAGCCGGCCUGAGAGGGUGUACGGCCACACUGGAACUGAGACACGGUCCAGACACCUACGGGUGGCAG